This 566-nucleotide ribosomal RNA is filed under the name uncultured Glomeromycotina. RNAcentral describes it as "SSU rRNA". It matches the Rfam family "Eukaryotic small subunit ribosomal RNA", at positions 548 to 1114 of the family's 1831-position model. The record is from RNAcentral. Lineage: Eukaryota; Fungi; Glomeromycota.
UUGGAGGGCAAGUCUGGUGCCAGCAGCCGCGGUAAUUCCAGCUCCAAUAGCGUAUAUUAAAGUUGUUGCAGUUAAAAAGCUCGUAGUUGAAUUUCGGGGUCAGUAGGUUGGUCAUGCCACUGGUAUGUACUGGUCUCACUGAUUCCUCCUUCCUGAUGAGCCGUAAUGCCAUUAAUUUGGUGUUGCGAGGAAUCUGGACUGUUACUUUGAAAAAAUUAGAGUGUUUAAAGCAAGCUAACGCUUGAAUACAUUAGCAUGGAAUAAUGAAAUAGGACGUUCGAUCCUAUUUUGUUGGUUUCUAGGAUUGACGUAAUGAUUAAUAGGGAUAGUUGGGGGCAUUAGUAUUCAAUUGUCAGAGGUGAAAUUCUUGGAUUUAUUGAAGACUAACUACUGCGAAAGCAUUUGCCAAGGAUGUUUUCAUUAAUCAAGAACGAAAGUUAGGGGAUCGAAGACGAUCAGAUACCGUCGUAGUCUUAACCAUAAACUAUGCCGACUAGGGAUCGGAUGAUGUUAAUUUUUUAAUGACUCAUUCGGCGCCUUACGGGGAAACCAAAGUGUUUGGGUUC